This 253-nucleotide ribosomal RNA is filed under the name uncultured bacterium. Its description in RNAcentral is "partial 16S ribosomal RNA". It matches the Rfam family "Bacterial small subunit ribosomal RNA", at positions 524 to 776 of the family's 1533-position model. The record is from RNAcentral.
UACAGAGGUCUCAAGCGUUGUUCGGAUUCAUUGGGCGUAAAGGGUGCGUAGGUGGCGCCGUAAGUCAGGUGUGAAAUCUCGGGGCUCAACCCCGAAACUGCACUUGAUACUGCGGUGCUCGAGUACUGGAGAGGAGAUUGGAAUUUACGGUGUAGCAGUGAAAUGCGUAGAUAUCAGGAGGAACACCGGUGGCGAAGGCGGAUCUCUGGGCCUUACCUGACGCUCAGGUGCGAAAGCUAGGGGAGCGAACAGG